CGAACGCUGGCGGCGUGCCUAAUACAUGCAAGUCGAACGAGAGCGACCGGUGCUUGCACUGGUCAAUCUAGUGGCGAACGGGUGAGUAACACGUGGGUAACCUGCCCAUCAGAGGGGGAUAACAUCCGGAAACGGAUGCUAAAACCGCAUAGGUCUUCGAGCCGCAUGGCUUGAAGAGGAAAAGAGGCGCAAGCUUCUGCUGAUGGAUGGACCCGCGGUGCAUUAGCUAGUUGGUGAGGUAACGGCUCACCAAGGCCGUGAUGCAUAGCCGACCUGAGAGGGUGAUCGGCCACAUUGGGACUGAGACACGGCCCAAACUCCUACGGGAGGCAGCAGUAGGGAAUCUUCCGCAAUGGACGCAAGUCUGACGGAGCAACGCCGCGUGAGUGAAGAAGGUUUUCGGAUCGUAAAACUCUGUUGUUAGAGAAGAACAAGUGCUAGAGUAACUGUUAGCGCCUUGACGGUAUCUAACCAGAAAGCCACGGCUAACUACGUG
Molecule: ribosomal RNA, 496 nt
Filed under: uncultured bacterium
Lineage: Bacteria
Description: partial 16S ribosomal RNA
Rfam family: Bacterial small subunit ribosomal RNA
Source: RNAcentral